RNAcentral lists this unclassified non-coding RNA (20 nucleotides) under Chlamydomonas reinhardtii. RNAcentral's name for it is "small RNA Cre_3565". Lineage: Eukaryota; Viridiplantae; Chlorophyta; Chlorophyceae; Chlamydomonadales; Chlamydomonadaceae. The record is from RNAcentral.
UGUGAGUGCAUGCGCGUGGG